GACGAACGCUGGCGGCGUGCCUAACACAUGCAAGUCGAACGAGGUCCAGGGGAGCUUGCUCCCUGACGACCUAGUGGCGAACGGGUGAGUAACACGUGAGAAACCUGCCUCGGAGUGGGGAAUAACUCGGGGAAACUCGAGCUAAUACCGCAUACCUUCACAUGAUCGCAUGGUCGAGUGAAGAAAGAAUUUCGCUCUGAGAGGGUCUCGCGGCCUAUCAGCUUGUUGGUGGGGUAACGGCCUACCAAGGCAACGACGGGUAGCUGGUUUGAGAGAACGAUCAGCCACACUGGGACUGAGACACGGCCCAGACACCUACGGGUGGCUG
This 328-nucleotide ribosomal RNA is filed under the name uncultured Actinomycetes bacterium. RNAcentral describes it as "bacterial SSU rRNA". It matches the Rfam family "Bacterial small subunit ribosomal RNA", at positions 28 to 351 of the family's 1533-position model. The record is from RNAcentral. Lineage: Bacteria; Bacillati; Actinomycetota; Actinomycetes.